This is a non-coding RNA of Nicotiana tabacum (common tobacco), 1504 nucleotides long. The record is from RefSeq and is a predicted model, not a curated record. NCBI's taxonomy places the organism in Eukaryota, Viridiplantae, Streptophyta, Magnoliopsida, Solanales, Solanaceae.
ACUUGAAAGUUGGGAUCUAAACCAUGCAGCAUGCCAAUGGCUCCUAACACACAACUCGUGAAAGAAGACGGUGAGAUAUUCGAAGAUCCAGAGAAAUAUAGGAGAUUGGUUGGGAAACUGAACUAUCUUACAGUAACUCGUCCCGAUAUCGCAUACUCUGUCAGCAUUGUGAGUCAGUUUAUGUCUUCCCCAACAGUCAGGCAUUGGGCGGCUCUGGAGCAGAUUCUUUGUUAUCUAAAGGGAUCUCCAGGACGGGGUCUAGUAUAUAAGAAUAAUGAACACACUAACAUUGAGUGUUUCACAGAUGCAGAUUGGGCAGGGUCAAAAGCCGAUAGGAGAUCCACGACAGGAUAUUGCGUUUUUGUUGGUGGAAACUUGAUUUCGUGGAAGAGUAAGAAACAAAAUGUCGUAUCUCGAUCUAGUGCGGAAGCAGAAUACAGAGCUAUGGCACAAUCUGUGUGUGAGGUUGUAUGGGUACAUCAACUAUUAAGUGAAGUUGGCUUCCAAACUACAUUGCCAGCAAAGUUGUGGUGUGAUAAUCAAGCUGCUCUUCAUAUCUCCUCUAAUCCUGUAUUUCACGAAAGGACUAAGCACAUUGAAAUAGAUUGUCACUUUGUUCGUGAAAAGAUUCAACAAAAGCUCAUCUCUACAGGUCAUGUUAGAACUGGAGAUCAAUUGGGAGACAUUUUCACAAAAGCUUUGAAUGGAGCUCGAGUUGAAUAUAUCUGUAACAAGUUGGGCAUGAUCAAUAUAUAUGCUCCAACUUGAGGGGGAGUGUUGACAUACAAGUUGUCUAGCACAUGUAUACACAUGUACUACAUCAUAGCUAGCACAUGUAUAUGAGUUGUAUAGUAGGUGUAAUUAGGUGUAUGGCAACUAAUAGAUUAGGUGAAUUAGUAUUAUAAAUAGGCCUUGUAAUCUUCUCUUCUAGAUAUGAAAUAUAGAACUUCUUUGGUUUCUAACAGACUUGUUAAAUAUACAUGUCCAUCAUGAGAAGUCAUAAAAGACUCAACCACUAACAUAUCAAAUAGCUAUUGGCUUCCACUUCUGCAGUAACUUCUUCAAAUCUGUUACAAAUUUAUGAAAGAGAAAUUAAAGACCACAGGCUUAUCAUUUUGAGUAGCUAUUGGCUUUUACUGUGUUUAAUCAUGCACAAGGCAUCUCGCGUUCAUGCAGGGUCAGGGAAGGGCCGUACCCCAAGAGAUGUGAUGUGGAUAACCUACCUUGCUGCGAGCAUUAGUGGUUUCUUCCACCGCUCGAACCCGUGACCUAUAGGUCACACGGAGACAACUUUACCGUUGCUCCAAGGCUCCCAUUCCAAGUUAUAAGGCAUCAUUAUCUCCAGCUUCAUACAAUAAUAAAAUUUAUUCUCUUUUUUAAGACAUCUAAUUGUUUGGUUGACUUACAAAUGUGAUCAUAAAAUUACAUCUUAAUCAGCAACUCAAAUCUUUUAUAUUCAGUAAGAUAUCAAGGCGCCUGACUAAAAGUGAGCAAAAGCUAGAGA